RNAcentral lists this small RNA (566 nucleotides) under Pan troglodytes (chimpanzee). Its description in RNAcentral is "processed transcript". The record is from RNAcentral. Lineage: Eukaryota; Metazoa; Chordata; Mammalia; Primates; Hominidae.
GAUUUUUCUCGAUGCACUGGGGAAAGCGGUGGACUCUUAUCGUGGGAGGGCUCUUGAUCUGUGAUUUAUAGAUAGGCACAGCUACUCCCGUUCGGGAACCCAACGGCAGACAGGUCCUAGUGCCCAUCAGAUACCCGCGGCCGGGACUCGGAGCUGUGGGGUGUGGGGAGGCGGAGGCACCAACUAAGAGCGACCUAGCAUCGCAAAGCCGCCCUCGGGGCGCUGAUGGCCAGACGCCUCCUGGGAAAGGCUUUAGCCGCGGUGUCUCUCUCUCUGGCCUUGGCCUCUGUGACUAUCAGGUCCUCGGGCUGCCGCGGCAUCCCGGCGUUCAGUAGAGACAGGGUUUCACCAUGUUGAGCAGGCUGGUCUCGAACUCCUGACCUCAAGUGAUCUGCCCUCCUUAGCCUCCCAAAGUGUUGGGAUUACAGAUAUGAGCCACCACACCUGGCCUACACUUGUUUUUAUGGUUUGAGUUUUCAUAACAAACUUCCCCUUCCACAACAGAUAGCACACAAAAACUCGUUUUCAUCUUCUUGGUUUCAUCUUAAUACCAACGUCAUGUCUGG